AACGUAGGAGACAAACGUUAUCCGGAGUUACUGGGCGUAAAGGGCGUGUAGGUGGUUUCGUAAGUCUGGCGUGAAAUUUUUCGGCUUAACCGGGAAAGGUCGUCGGAUACUGCGGAGCUAGAGGACGGUAGAGGCGUGUGGAAUUCCGGGUGUAGUGGUGAAAUGCGUAGAGAUCCGGAGGAACACCAGUGGCGAAGGCGACACGCUGGGCCGUACCUGGCACUGAUGCGCGACAGCAUGGGGAGCAAACAGG
This 253-nucleotide ribosomal RNA is filed under the name uncultured bacterium. RNAcentral's name for it is "partial 16S ribosomal RNA". It matches the Rfam family "Bacterial small subunit ribosomal RNA", at positions 524 to 776 of the family's 1533-position model. The record is from RNAcentral.